Molecule: ribosomal RNA, 668 nt
Filed under: Sphaeronematidae sp. CD942
Lineage: Eukaryota; Metazoa; Nematoda; Chromadorea; Rhabditida; Sphaeronematidae
Description: eukaryotic LSU rRNA
Rfam family: Eukaryotic large subunit ribosomal RNA
Source: RNAcentral
CAAAGCACUUUGAAGAGAGAGUUAAAGAGGACGUGAAACCGGUGAGGUGGAAACGGAUAGAGCCAGCGUUUUGGCCCGUAUUCAGCCGUUGCCGUCCGGCCAGCAGCAUGCGGCGCAUCGUCAAUGGGCGCACGUGUGCGCUGUGAGUCGGACGGUGGAGCGGUGCAUUUGCGGGCGCAGUGCGCCGAGACUUGUGGGUGGCCGUCCGAAGCCGUCGCUUUGAGGCCUUCGCGUUUAAUCGCGCGUUGGAACCCUAGCGGCGGUUCGGGCGUUCUGCCUGCUCGUAGAUGGGGGCCUGGCUUCGGCGAGCCCGCGUGGCUUGACGCUAGUGCUUGGGGUGGGUCCGCUUGCGGUACUCGCCUCCGGUGCUGGUGUUCUUGUUCCGGCGUUCCCCUGGCCCAAUCUCGGUGUGAAAGCUGGUCAUCUCUCCGACCCGUCUUGAAACACGGACCAAGGAGUUUAGCGUGUGCGCGAGCCAUUUGGUGUGCGAAACCAAAAGGCGCAAUGAAAGUGAAGGCGCCUUCCGGGUGCUGACAUGCGAUCCGGGGGUUCCGCACCCCGGGCGCAGCAUGGUCCCGUUGCGGCCGCUUGCGGCGUGGCGGAGACAGAGCGUACGCGCUGAGACCCGAAAGAUGGUGAACUAUUCCUGAGCAGGAUGAAGCCAGAGG